This 496-nucleotide ribosomal RNA is filed under the name uncultured bacterium. Its description in RNAcentral is "bacterial SSU rRNA". It matches the Rfam family "Bacterial small subunit ribosomal RNA", at positions 28 to 482 of the family's 1533-position model. The record is from RNAcentral.
GAUGAACGCUAGCGGCAGGCUUAACACAUGCAAGUCGAACGGAGACACUCUGUUCACCGAGCGGUUGGGUGGCGAAACCAGAAGGUGACGUCGCAACAACUGCUGGGUGAACGGAGUGUCUUAGUGGCGGACGGGUGAGUAACGCGUGAGCAACCUGCCCUACAGUGGGGAAUAACACACCGAAAGGUGUGCUAAUACCGCAUAAUGUAUCCGGAGGGCAUCCUCUGGAUACCAAAGAUUUAUCGCUGUAGGAUGGGCUCGCGUCCGAUUAGAUAGUAGGCGGGGUAACGGCUCACCAAGGCGACGAUGGGUAGCCGGCCUGAGAGGGUGAACGGCCACACUGGGACUGAGACACGGCCCAGACUCCUACGGGAGGCAGCAGUAGGGAAUAUUGCGCAAUGGGCGGAAGCCUGACGCAGCGACGCCGCGUGAGCGAAGAAGGCCUUCGGUCGUAAAGCUCUGUCCUUGGGAGAAGGCGAAGCUUGACGGUACCAAG